UUAGAGUUUGAUCCUGGCUCAGGAUGAACUCUAGCGACAGGCCUAACACAUGCAAGUCGAGGGGUAACAGGGGCUUCGGCCCGCUGACGACCGGCGCACGGGUGAGUAACGCGUAUGCAACCUGCCUGUAACAGCGGGAUAGCUCCCUGAAAGGGGAAUUAACACCGCAUAAGACCACGCUCUCGCAUGGGGACGGGGUAAAAUAUUUAUAGGUUACAGAUGGGCAUGCGUGACAUUAGUUAGUUGGUGAGGUAACGGCUCACCAAGACUGCGAUGUCUAGGGGUUCUGAGAGGGAGGUCCCCCACACUGGAACUGAGACACGGUCCAGACUCCUACGGGAGGCAGCAGUGAGGAAUAUUGGUCAAUGGACGCAAGUCUGAACCAGCCAUGCCGCGUGCAGGAAGACGGCCUUAUGGGUUGUAAACUGCUUUUAUACGGGAGCAAUAAGGGUUACGAGUAAUCCGAUGAGAGUACUGUAUGAAUAAGGAUCGGCUAACUCCGUGCCAGCAGCCGCGGUAAUACGGAGGAUCCGAGCGUUAUCCGGAUUUAUUGGGUUUAAAGGGUGCUCAGGCGGGCCAUUAAGUCGGCGGUGAAAUUUUGCGGCUCAACCGUAAAAGUGCCUUCGAUACUGGUGGUCUUGAGUGUGGAUGAGGUAGGCGGAAUUUGUGGUGUAGCGGUGAAAUGCAUAGAUAUCACGAGGAACUCCGAUUGCUAAGGCAGCUUACUAAGCCAUAACUGACGCUCAAGCACGAAGGCGUGGGGAUCAAACAGGAUUAGAUACCCUGGUAGUCCGCGCAGUAAACGAUGAUUACUGGCUGUUUGCGAUAUAUUGUAAGCGGCUGAGCGAAAGCGUUAAGUAAUCCACCUGGGGAGUACGUUCGCAAGAAUGAAACUCAAAGGAAUUGACGGGGGCCCGCACAAGCGGCGGAGCAUGCGGAUUAAUUCGAGGCAACGCGAAGAACCUUACCAAGGCUUGACAUACACCUGGAGCGCGCGGAAACGUGUGUGACUUUGAUACAGGUUGUACAGGUGGUGCAUGGUUGUCGUCAGCUCGUGUCGUGAGAUGUUGGGUUAAGUCCCGUAACGAGCGCAACCCUUGUCUUAUGUUGCCAGCA
Molecule: ribosomal RNA, 1116 nt
Filed under: uncultured bacterium
Lineage: Bacteria
Description: bacterial SSU rRNA
Rfam family: Bacterial small subunit ribosomal RNA
Source: RNAcentral